Molecule: ribosomal RNA, 253 nt
Filed under: uncultured bacterium
Lineage: Bacteria
Description: partial 16S ribosomal RNA
Rfam family: Bacterial small subunit ribosomal RNA
Source: RNAcentral
UACGUAGGGGGCAAGCGUUGUCCGGAAUCAUUGGGCGUAAAGCGCGUGUAGGCGGCUUGGUAAGUCCGCUCUGAAAGCCCGGGGCUCAACCCCGGGAGGCGGGUGGAUACUGUCAAGCUCGAGUCCGGAAGAGGCGAGUGGAAUUCCCGGUGUAGCGGUGAAAUGCGCAGAUAUCGGGAGGAACACCAAUGGCGAAGGCAGCUCGCUGGGACGUGACUGACGCUGAGACGCGAAAGCGUGGGGAGCGAACAGG